GGGUUGUGAGGUUAAGCGACUAAGCGUACACGGUGGAUGCCCUGGCAGUCAGAGGCGAUGAAGGACGUGCUAAUCUGCGAUAAGCGUCGGUAAGGUGAUAUGAACCGUUAUAACCGGCGAUUUCCGAAUGGGGAAACCCAGUGUGUUUCGACACACUAUCAUUAACUGAAUCCAUAGGUUAAUGAGGCGAACCGGGGGAACUGAAACAUCUAAGUACCCCGAGGAAAAGAAAUCAACCGAGAUUCCCCCAGUAGCGGCGAGCGAACGGGGAGCAGCCCAGAGCCUGAAUCAGUGUGUGUGUUAGUGGAAGCGUCUGGAAAGGCGUGCGAUACAGGGUGACAGCCCCGUACACAAAAAUGCACAUGCUGUGAGCUCGAUGAGUAGGGCGGGACACGUGGUAUCCUGUCUGAAUAUGGGGGGACCAUCCUCCAAGGCUAAAUACUCCUGACUGACCGAUAGUGAACCAGUACCGUGAGGGAAAGGCGAAAAGAACCCCGGCGAGGGGAGUGAAAAAGAACCUGAAACCGUGUACGUACAAGCAGUGGGAGCACGCUUAGGCGUGUGACUGCGUACCUUUUGUAUAAUGGGUCAGCGACUUAUAUUCUGUAGCAAGGUUAACCGAAUAGGGGAGCCGAAGGGAAACCGAGUCUUAACUGGGCGUUAAGUUGCAGGGUAUAGACCCGAAACCCGGUGAUCUAGCCAUGGGCAGGUUGAAGGUUGGGUAACACUAACUGGAGGACCGAACCGACUAAUGUUGAAAAAUUAGCGGAUGACUUGUGGCUGGGGGUGAAAGGCCAAUCAAACCGGGAGAUAGCUGGUUCUCCCCGAAAGCUAUUUAGGUAGCGCCUCGUGAAUUCAUCUCCGGGGGUAGAGCACUGUUUCGGCAAGGGGGUCAUCCCGACUUACCAACCCGAUGCAAACUGCGAAUACCGGAGAAUGUUAUCACGGGAGACACACGGCGGGUGCUAACGUCCGUCGUGAAGAGGGAAACAACCCAGACCGCCAGCUAAGGUCCCAAAGUCAUGGUUAAGUGGGAAACGAUGUGGGAAGGCCCAGACAGCCAGGAUGUUGGCUUAGAAGCAGCCAUCAUUUAAAGAAAGCGUAAUAGCUCACUGGUCGAGUCGGCCUGCGCGGAAGAUGUAACGGGGCUAAACCAUGCACCGAAGCUGCGGCAGCGACGCUGAUGCGUUGUUGGGUAGGGGAGCGUUCUGUAAGCCUGCGAAGGUGUGCUGUGAGGCAUGCUGGAGGUAUCAGAAGUGCGAAUGCUGACAUAAGUAACGAUAAAGCGGGUGAAAAGCCCGCUCGCCGGAAGACCAAGGGUUCCUGUCCAACGUUAAUCGGGGCAGGGUGAGUCGACCCCUAAGGCGAGGCCGAAAGGCGUAGUCGAUGGGAAACAGGUUAAUAUUCCUGUGCUUGGUGUUACUGCGAAGGGGGGACGGAGAAGGCUAUGUUGGCCGGGCGACGGUUGUCCCGGUUUAAGCGUGUAGGCUGGUUUUCCAGGCAAAUCCGGAAAAUCAAGGCUGAGGCGUGAUGACGAGGCACUACGGUGCUGAAGCAACAAAUGCCCUGCUUCCAGGAAAAGCCUCUAAGCAUCAGGUAACAUCAAAUCGUACCCCAAACCGACACAGGUGGUCAGGUAGAGAAUACCAAGGCGCUUGAGAGAACUCGGGUGAAGGAACUAGGCAAAAUGGUGCCGUAACUUCGGGAGAAGGCACGCUGAUAUGUAGGUGAAGUCCCUCGCGGAUGGAGCUGAAAUCAGUCGAAGAUACCAGCUGGCUGCAACUGUUUAUUAAAAACACAGCACUGUGCAAACACGA
Molecule: ribosomal RNA, 1817 nt
Filed under: Escherichia coli
Lineage: Bacteria; Pseudomonadati; Pseudomonadota; Gammaproteobacteria; Enterobacterales; Enterobacteriaceae
Description: partial 23S ribosomal RNA
Rfam family: Bacterial large subunit ribosomal RNA
Source: RNAcentral